Molecule: ribosomal RNA, 253 nt
Filed under: uncultured bacterium
Lineage: Bacteria
Description: partial 16S ribosomal RNA
Rfam family: Bacterial small subunit ribosomal RNA
Source: RNAcentral
UACGUAGGCAGCAAGCGUUGUUCGGAGUUACUGGGCGUAAAGGGGGUGUAGGCGGUUGUUUAAGUUUGGGGUGAAAUCUCCCGGCUCAACUGGGAGGGUGCGCCGAAUACUGAAUGACUAGAGUGUGGGAGAGGUAAGCGGAAUUCCUGGUGUAGCGGUGAAAUGCGUAGAUAUCAGGAGGAACACCUGCGGUGUAGACGGCUUACUGGACCAUGACUGACGCUGAGGCACGAAAGCGUGGGGAGCAAACAGG